Molecule: ribosomal RNA, 497 nt
Filed under: uncultured bacterium
Lineage: Bacteria
Description: partial 16S ribosomal RNA
Rfam family: Bacterial small subunit ribosomal RNA
Source: RNAcentral
GAUGAACGCUGGCGGCGUGCCUAAUACAUGCAAGUCGAGCGAACAGACGAGGAGCUUGCUCCUCUGACGUUAGCGGCGGACGGGUGAGUAACACGUGGAUAACCUACCUAUAAGACUUGGAUAACUUCGGGAAACCGGAGCUAAUACCGGAUAAUAUAUUGAACCGCAUGGUUCAAUAGUGAAAGACGGUUUUGCUGUCACUUAUAGAUGGAUCCGCGCCGCAUUAGCUAGUUGGUAAGGUAACGGCUUACCAAGGCAACGAUGCGUAGCCGACCUGAGAGGGUGAUCGGCCACACUGGAACUGAGACACGGUCCAGACUCCUACGGGAGGCAGCAGUAGGGAAUCGUCCGCAAUGGGCGAAAGCCUGACGGAGCAACGCCGCGUGAAUGAUGAGGGUCUUCGGAUCGUAGAACUCUGUUAUUAGGGAAGAACAAAUAUGUAAGUACCUAUGCACGUCUUGACGGUACCUAAUCAGAAAGCUACGGCUAACUCCGUG